Long non-coding RNA from Synchiropus splendidus (mandarinfish), 432 nucleotides. RefSeq lists it as uncharacterized. The transcript has 5 exons. The record is from RefSeq and is a predicted model, not a curated record. NCBI's taxonomy places the organism in Eukaryota, Metazoa, Chordata, Actinopteri, Syngnathiformes, Callionymidae.
CUCUGUCGGUGGAGAGCAGAUGCUGCACGAGAGCCCCACAACAGAACCAAGCUUCCUCCAUGUUUUAUGGUGCAUCUUGGCACUUUCCAAUCAUGAUCUUGGACGAAGGCCUGGUUAUUCGGUUGCCAUUCUGCUUUUUGUGGACACGUCCAGUUUUCAGAAGGAUUUGGGGCUCCAACGCUGACCCAUGAUUGUUGCUACAUUGGUUCCAGGUGCAUACAAAUAUACGCUGACUCAGCCUUUUGGGAGGCAGGAAAGUCCUCGCAACACUUGAGGGACACGAGCAACUGGUCAGUUGUUUUGAGUUUGGUUUCUGGUCGACCUCAGCUGCUGACAGAGAUGAAGGAUGUUUCUGUGAUUCACUGCUUCUCCAUGCCAGACCACACCAAGACCUUCACAGAUGAAUAUGAGGAGCAGAAGACCAGGAAGAGG